RNAcentral lists this ribosomal RNA (463 nucleotides) under uncultured bacterium. Its description in RNAcentral is "partial 16S ribosomal RNA". It matches the Rfam family "Bacterial small subunit ribosomal RNA", at positions 28 to 507 of the family's 1533-position model. The record is from RNAcentral.
GAUGAACGCUGACAGAAUGCUUAACACAUGCAAGUCUUUGGCGAAGCUGUGCUUGCACAGCCUAGCCAAGGCGGACGGGUGAGUAACGCGUAAGGAACUUGCCCUGCAGUCAGGGAUAACAGACGGAAACGACUGAUAAGACCUGGUAAAGUCAGGCGGACUCAUGUCCAGCCUGAUGAAAAGAGAUGCUGCAGGAGAGCCUUGCGUCCUAUUAGCUUGUUGGUGGGGUAACGGCCCACCAAGGCGAUGAUAGGUAGCCGGCCUGAGAGGGUGGACGGCCACAAGGGGACUGAGAUACGGCCCUUACUCCUACGGGAGGCAGCAGUGGGGAAUAUUGGACAAUGGGGGCAACCCUGAUCCAGCAAUUCUGUGUGCACGAUGAAGGUUUUCGGAUUGUAAAGUGCUUUCAGCAGGGAAGAAAAAAAUGACGGUACCUGCAGAAGAAGAGACGGCUAAAUACGUG